Molecule: ribosomal RNA, 258 nt
Filed under: uncultured bacterium
Lineage: Bacteria
Description: partial 16S ribosomal RNA
Rfam family: Bacterial small subunit ribosomal RNA
Source: RNAcentral
AAGAAGCAAGACCGCGAGGUGGAGCAAAACUCAAAAACUUGUCUCAGUUCGGAUUGUAGGCUGAAACUCGCCUACAUGAAGCUGGAGUUGCUAGUAAUCGCGAAUCAGCAUGUCGCGGUGAAUACGUUCCCGGGCCUUGUACACACCGCCCGUCACACCAUGAGAGUUGGCAAUACCCAACGUACGUGAUCUAACCCGCAAGGGAGGAAGCGUCCUAAGGUAGGGUCAGCGAUUGGGGUGAAGUCGUAACAAGGUACC